UUUCAAAUUUUCAUUGUAUAAUUUAACCCAAAAAAUUAAUUAAUCCAACACGAAGUGUAGUUGAAACCAUAUUGUAUUAUGAUUAUUAUUAAGUGACACACUAUGAUUUUCCUAUUUUAGUUUUGGAAAAAUAAAAAAACUAAAAUGGUUAUUACAUAUGACAUGAUCAAAUUAAAAGCAAAUUAGAAAUAUGUGACAUUUAAUUUAUUCAUAAACAAAUUCAACUAGCAUUCUACCCGCAAAUCUCAAACUUAGAAGAGGAAAUAACCGGCAAUGGCAACAGCUUUGGCGAUAGCGGAUAACCCAAUUAUGGUUGCACUGCUACUGCUAGGCGGCAGACCAGUUGCAGCACCACUGAUAGCAUUAACCGCAUUGUCAAGACGGCCUUCAACGAUAUCCUGACCACCUUCACCAGUAUAGGGUGCACCAACAUUUUUUCCAAUGGCAUCAGUAUAGCCGGGUGCGGCAGCCUCCAUGAUGUCAGCGGAAACCAUCUUGACAAUGGCAAUUAAGACCAAAACUAAAACAAAAAUUUGUCGUGCCAUUUAUUGUUCAAUAAAAUUUGAUUAACAAUAAAUGAACACGACAC
Molecule: long non-coding RNA, 589 nt
Filed under: Gossypium raimondii (Peruvian cotton)
Lineage: Eukaryota; Viridiplantae; Streptophyta; Magnoliopsida; Malvales; Malvaceae
Description: long non-coding RNA (GRAI_LNC007993)
Source: RNAcentral